AGUGUACAUAACUGAAUCGGGAAACAUUAAAUUUUCAUUACAUAUUGUCCGAAUACAUAAAUAGGAUUACAAAAUCCAAGAGAUUAAUACUAAAUUGAGCUAACAACUGAAAACAUAAAGAAACUAAAUCUUAUACAAAUAUAAGAUAACAUGACGUCAGCUCAACUAGCAUAAUCCAAGUAUCUGAACUUCAUGCUUGCAGACCAUGAUAUCUUGGUCAACCUGUUUAUCUGAAAUCAAAUAAGUGGGGAAUAAGAAUAGUCACUUCGUCUUAGUGAAUUCCUACUACCCAGUUACUAUUGGUUUCUACACCGGGGCAACUAAUGAACUAAAAGUUCCUUGAUCCUGAUUGUCAGUCUCUAACAUAAUUUUAUAACAUGAUUUCAUAAACAUAAUAAUAUAAAGGUAUAACACAGAUUAAUUAUUUUGUUCCUUUUAACAUAACUAAGACACUCUGAGGUGAGCCGGUCUCAGAGGAGGCCUAACAUAUCCGUUGUCGAUGAUUAUACGCAUCGACACGGUAUGAAGCUCACAAUCGUAACAUGAUUGGAUUCCUCGAAUCCCAUAACGUGGUACAUAAGUAACCAUCAUGAUUGACUGACUUUCUUAACUUACCUUAAUUAUCCUGAUUGUUAUCCUGCCCAUGAAUUCCCUCCCAGGGUAUUUCUAAACUGUCCUGAUACUUAAUUUCCUGAGUGUGCUUAACAUUCUAAACACAUAGACAUUGUUACACUGUUCAUAAAAUGUAUUAGAAAUGAAAUGAAUAUAAAACGAGUGAAUUUGCAGUUCAAAUAAAAUUAUGCAAUGUUCUAUUCUGACACGCUCGCCUAGCGAAGCCUUGACUCACUAAGCGAGUAUAUCAGUACAUAACCCUGUUUGCUUUUUUUGUAAAAUCAAGCCAAUAUUCACCUACAAUCCAUAACUUCCUAAUUUCAGACACUGUAAUUAGUCCAUAUAUUUAGAAUGGAGAAUUGUUUGGGGAUUUAACCAUUCUCACACAAUAAAUUCCUUAAAUCCUAAUAUUGUCAUGCAAUUGAUAAAUUGGGGAACUAAUAUUCUAACUAAACUAAUGUUAUCAUGCAUUUAUUUUAUUUGGGAAAACUAAUUGAGCUAAACUAACUAGAGUUUAAGGCUCUAAGGGAACCCACCUGAAAUCGACGCUUGAACAGUACCACCGACAUUUCCGAAACUCGUCGAAAAGCGGAAUUUGCAACGAAACUACUCCAAACUCGUGUGCAGAUUUUUUUGCAUAAUACCAGCAUCAGAGUUCCAACUUCAACAAUACCUACCGGCCACAAUUCUCGUCCAUAAAUUAUGAAACCGCGAUCAUAACGACCGUAUUUGAGUUAGCUUUCCAUAGCAAUCAGAAUAAACUCAAACGAAGCUACAGAGAGAAAUAAUUUACCGUUUGAGUGCAGCCCAAUCCCAAACACUUUAUGCAUAAAUUCUGUGUUGAACCUUUCACUUUAAAAAUUCGUAGAGACCUCAUUUCUCCAUUACAUAUCACUAGGCAUUUUAGUGAGUGUACAUCCAGCAUACGAAUUUCCAUAAAUAUUUUCAAUCUUCUUGUUUCCUUGUUCCAACAACUGUCCUUACUGAUUCAUAC
Molecule: long non-coding RNA, 1606 nt
Filed under: Trifolium pratense (red clover)
Lineage: Eukaryota; Viridiplantae; Streptophyta; Magnoliopsida; Fabales; Fabaceae
Description: long non-coding RNA (TPRA_LNC008534)
Source: RNAcentral